This 253-nucleotide ribosomal RNA is filed under the name uncultured bacterium. Its description in RNAcentral is "partial 16S ribosomal RNA". It matches the Rfam family "Bacterial small subunit ribosomal RNA", at positions 524 to 776 of the family's 1533-position model. The record is from RNAcentral.
UACGUAGGGGGCUAGCGUUGUGCGGAAUCAUUGGGCGUAAAGCGCGUGUAGGCGGUCCGAUAAGUCCGCUGUGAAAGUCGAGGGCUCAACCCUCGAAUGCCGGUGGAUACUGUCGGGCUUGAGUACGGAAGAGGCGAGUGGAAUUCCUGGUGUAGCGGUGAAAUGCGCAGAUAUCAGGAGGAACACCAAUUGCGAAGGCAGCUCGCUGGGACGUUACUGACGCUGAGACGCGAAAGCGUGGGGAGCAAACAGG